Molecule: long non-coding RNA, 554 nt
Filed under: Mytilus galloprovincialis (Mediterranean mussel)
Lineage: Eukaryota; Metazoa; Mollusca; Bivalvia; Mytilida; Mytilidae
Source: RNAcentral
GGCGGCGUCAAUAUUAAGAUUUCGAAUUGAUAAAGUGUUUUGAAUGGCUCUCCGUGAAAUUUUACGAAAGUUGGAAGAAAAAUGUUCAUGAUCAAAAGAGUAUCCAUCUAGCAAUAUAAUAAUGCUUUAAUUUUCCCGCAUUUAACGGAUAAAAGGUAUUCUUUCUGCAAUUAAUAAGUGGUCACAGUUUGGGCUUAAACUUUGUUAUUUAAUGAAUGGCUAUUAUCUAUUUUGAAUUUAUUGAACCAUAAAACUAAUUUUUGACUCUUCACAUUGAAUAAUCCGCGAAGCGGAUUAUGUAAAAUGUGAAGAGUCAAAAAUUAGUUUUAUGGUUCAAUAAAAUCAAAAUAAAUUAUUGCCAUUCAUUAUAAAUAAAUUUCUAUCAAAAAUAAUGCUCAAGGAACAUUUUAUAUUAUUUAUAUUAACAAUAACAACGUACACACAUGUUGGCGUAUGAAUACACAACGUCAGAGUGGGCGUGUCGCCAUCAAAAUUGACAACAUUGAAAAUAAAACUAAUGAUUUUAACCAAUCAGAAGACAGUGAAUACACCAA